This 462-nucleotide ribosomal RNA is filed under the name uncultured bacterium. Its description in RNAcentral is "SSU rRNA". It matches the Rfam family "Bacterial small subunit ribosomal RNA", at positions 26 to 518 of the family's 1533-position model. The record is from RNAcentral.
AGGACAAACGCUGGCGGCGUGCCUAAAACAUGCAAGUCGAACGGACCUUUCGGGGUCAGUGGCGGACGGCUGAGUAACGCGUGGGUAACCUACCCGUGAGUGGGGAAUAACCCUCCGAAAGGAGGGCUAAUACCGCAUACGACCAUUGGUUUGCGGACUGGUGGGGAAAGUCGCAAGACGCUCGUGGAGGGGCCCGCGUCCGAUUAGCUAGUUGGUGAGGUAACGGCUCACCAAGGCGUCGAUCGGUAGCUGGUCUGAGAGGAUGAUCAGCCAGACUGGGACUGUGACACGGCCCAGACUCCUACGGGAGGCAGCAGUUAGGAAUCUUGGGCAAUGGGCGAAAGCCUGACCCAGCAACGCCGCGUGGGUGACGAAGGCCUUCGGGUCGUAAAGCCCUUUUCCACGGGAAGAUAAUGACGGUACCGUGGGAAUAAGCCCGGCUAACUACGUGCCAGCAGCCGC